Molecule: ribosomal RNA, 284 nt
Filed under: uncultured bacterium
Lineage: Bacteria
Description: partial 16S ribosomal RNA
Rfam family: Bacterial small subunit ribosomal RNA
Source: RNAcentral
CAUUCCUACGGGAGGCAGCAGUAGGGAAUCUUCCACAAUGGGCGAAAGCCUGAUGGAGCAACGCCGCGUGGGUGAAGAGGGUCUUCGGAUCGUAAAACCCUGUUGUUAGAGAAGAAAGUGCGUGAGAGUAACUGUUCACGUUUCGACGGUAUCUAACCAGAAAGCCACGGCUAACUACGUGCCAGCAGCCGCGGUAAUACGUAGGUGGCAAGCGUUAUCCGGAUUUAUUGGGCGUAAAGGGCACGCAGGCGGUCUUUUAAGUUUGAUGUGAAAGCCUUCGGCUU